RNAcentral lists this ribosomal RNA (222 nucleotides) under uncultured Glomeromycotina. Its description in RNAcentral is "partial 18S ribosomal RNA". The stretch from base 40 to 222 matches the Rfam family "Eukaryotic small subunit ribosomal RNA", at positions 686 to 868 of the family's 1831-position model. The record is from RNAcentral. Lineage: Eukaryota; Fungi; Glomeromycota.
GGGUUAGUAGGUUGGUCGUGCCACCGGUACGUACUGGUCUCACUGAUUCCUCCUUCCUGAUGAGCUGUAAUGCCAUUAAUUUGGUGUUGCGGGGAAUUUGGACUGUUACUUUGAAAAAAUUUUAGAGUGUUUAAAGCAAGCUAACGCUUGAAUACAUUAGCAUGGAAUAAUGAAAUAGGACGUUCGAUCCUAUUUUGUUGGUUUCUAGGAUUGACGUAAUGA